Molecule: long non-coding RNA, 333 nt
Organism: Oncorhynchus keta (chum salmon)
Lineage: Eukaryota; Metazoa; Chordata; Actinopteri; Salmoniformes; Salmonidae
Exons: 6
Source: RefSeq, a predicted model, not a curated record
AACAGGAUAGAUAAUAAACAGUAACAACAGUAUACUGUAGGUAGGGGUAACAGGAUAGAUAAUAAACAGUAACAACAGUAUACUGUAGGUAGGGGUAACAGGAUAGAUAAUAAACAGUAACAACAGUAUACUGUAGGUAGGGGUAACAGGAUAGAUAAUAAACAGUAACAACAGUAUACUGUAGGUAGGGGUAACAGGAUAGAUAAUAAACAGUAACAACAGUAUACUGUAGGUAGGGGUAACAGGAUAGAUAAUAAACAGUAACAACAGUAUACUGUAGGUAGGGGUAACAGGAUAGAUAAUAAACAGUAACAACAGUAUACUGUAGGUAGG